CCUAGAGUUGUAGGCUUUGCCUGCUAUCUCUUACCCAUGUCUUUUGAGUACCUUCGUUUCCUCGGCGGGUCCGCCCGCCGAUUGGACAAUUUAAACCAUUUGCAGUUGCAAUCAGCGUUUGAAAAAACUUAAUAGUUA
Molecule: unclassified non-coding RNA, 138 nt
Filed under: soil metagenome
Description: partial internal transcribed spacer 1
Source: RNAcentral